Molecule: ribosomal RNA, 249 nt
Filed under: uncultured Exiguobacterium sp.
Lineage: Bacteria; Bacillati; Bacillota; Bacilli; Caryophanales
Description: partial 16S ribosomal RNA
Rfam family: Bacterial small subunit ribosomal RNA
Source: RNAcentral
UAGGGAAUCUUCCACAAUGGACGAAAGUCUGAUGGAGCAACGCCGCGUGAGUGAUGAAGGUUUUCGGAUCGUAAAACUCUGUUGUAAGGGAAGAACAGGUGUGAGAGGUAAUGCUCAUGCUAUGACGGUACCUUACGAGAAAGCCACGGCUAACUACGUGCCAGCAGCCGCGGUAAUACGUAGGUGGCAAGCGUUGGCCGGAAUUAUUGGGCGGAAAGCGCGCGCAGGCGGCCUUUUAAGUCUGAUGUG